AACGCACCUUGCGCUCUUUGGUAUUCCGAAGAGCAUGCCUGUUUGAGUGUCAUGAAAAUAUCAACCUUGACUUGGGUUUUGUGCUGCGCUUUUACGAGCGGCUCACCUUAAAUGUAUUAGCUGGAUCUGUCUUUGAGACUUGGUUUGACUUGGCGUAAUAAGUAUUUCGCUAAGGACAUUCUUCGGAGUGGCCUCGUUUCUAGGACGCUUGUCCGCUUCCCAAUACAAGUUCCACCUCGUGGACAUGACUUUUUUAUUAUCUGGCCUCAAAUCAGGUAGGACUACCCGCUGAACUUAA
This 298-nucleotide unclassified non-coding RNA is filed under the name uncultured Solicoccozyma. RNAcentral describes it as "sequence contains ITS2". The stretch from base 1 to 52 matches the Rfam family "5.8S ribosomal RNA", at positions 103 to 154 of the family's 154-position model. The record is from RNAcentral. Lineage: Eukaryota; Fungi; Basidiomycota; Tremellomycetes; Filobasidiales; Piskurozymaceae.